CUGCCCAAUGAGGAUUUAAAUGGCCGCAGUAUUUUGACUGUGCAAAGGUAGCAUAAUUAUUAGUUUUUUAAUUGAAAGCUUGUAUGAAGGGUUGGACGAGAUAAAAUCUGUCUUUAUUUAAAUUAAAGUAUAAUUUAACUUUUAAGUCAAAAGGCUUAAAUGUUUAUAAAAGACGAGAAGACCCUAUAGAUCUUUAUUUAGUUAAGAUUUUAAUAAUUUAGGAUUAUUUUAAUUUGGAGUCUUAAUUGAAUUUUAUUGGGGUAAUAUAAAGAUUAAAUGAAUUCUUUUUAUUUAUGACAUUAAUUUAUGAAUAUAUGAUCCAUUAAUAUUGAUUAUAAGAUUAAGUUACCUUAGGGAUAACAGCGUAAUUUUUUUGGAGAGCUCAUAUCGAUAAGAAAGUUUGCGACCUCGAUGUUGGAUUAAAAAUUAGCUUGGGUGCAGAAGCUCAAGAUUUUGGUCUGUUCGACCAUUAAAUUUUUACAUGAUCUGAGUUCAGACCGGCGUGAGCCAGGUCGGUUUCUAUCUUUAUUCAGAUAAAAUAUUUUAGUACGAAAGGACCAAGUAUUUAAUAUAAUUAUAUUUAUUUUUUGAAGAAUAUU
RNAcentral lists this ribosomal RNA (599 nucleotides) under Cicindela (Rivacindela) sp. JP-68a. RNAcentral describes it as "partial 16S ribosomal RNA". It matches the Rfam family "Bacterial large subunit ribosomal RNA", at positions 1859 to 2739 of the family's 2925-position model. The record is from RNAcentral. Lineage: Eukaryota; Metazoa; Arthropoda; Insecta; Coleoptera; Carabidae.